CAGAGUUAGAUUCAUGGCUCAGGACGAACGCUGGCGGCGUGCCUAAUACAUGCAAGUCGAGCGGACAGAUGGGAGCUUGCUCCCUGAUGUUAGCGGCGGACGGGUGAGUAACACGUGGGUAACCUGCCUGUAAGACUGGGAUAACUCCGGGAAACCGGGGCUAAUACCGGAUGGUUGUUUGAACCGCAUGGUUCAAACAUAAAAGGUGGCUUCGGCUACCACUUACAGAUGGACCCGCGGCGCAUUAGCUAGUUGGUGAGGUAACGGCUCACCAAGGCAACGAUGCGUAGCCGACCUGAGAGGGUGAUCGGCCACACUGGGACUGAGACACGGCCCAGACUCCUACGGGAGGCAGCAGUAGGGAAUCUUCCGCAAUGGACGAAAGUCUGACGGAGCAACGCCGCGUGAGUGAUGAAGGUUUUCGGAUCGUAAAGCUCUGUUGUUAGGGAAGAACAAGUACCGUUCGAAUAGGGCGGUACCUUGACGGUACCUAACCAGAAAGCCACGGCUAACUACGUGCCAGCAGCCGCGGUAAUACGUAGGUGGCAAGCGUUGUCCGGAAUUAUUGGGCGUAAAGGGCUCGCAGGCGGUUUCUUAAGUCUGAUGUGAAAGCCCCCGGCUCAACCGGGGAGGGUCAUUGGAAACUGGGGAACUUGAGUGCAGAAGAGGAGAGUGGAAUUCCACGUGUAGCGGUGAAAUGCGUAGAGAUGUGGAGGAACACCAGUGGCGAAGGCGACUCUCUGGUCUGUAACUGACGCUGAGGAGCGAAAGCGUGGGGAGCGAACAGGAUUAGAUACCCUGGUAGUCCACGCCGUAAACGAUAGUGCUAACUGUUAGGGGGUUUCCGCCCCUUAGUGCUGCAGCUAACGCAUUAAGCACNCCGCCUGG
Molecule: ribosomal RNA, 888 nt
Filed under: Bacillus subtilis
Lineage: Bacteria; Bacillati; Bacillota; Bacilli; Caryophanales; Bacillaceae
Description: bacterial SSU rRNA
Rfam family: Bacterial small subunit ribosomal RNA
Source: RNAcentral